CUGGUUCAUCAGUCCGGAAAUCGCCUACGGUCUCAAACAAUCGCUCGGCUAUAACCUGACGCUGACACCGUCCGCACGUGUGCGCUAUCUCGCCGCCGGUUUCGGCGGUUAUCAGGAAAGCGGGAUUUGACGGUGGCUUCACGCACCUCGCACAAUUUCGAGGAGCGCGGCGAGCUGAAGUUGACGCACACAACAAACGCGACGCCGACCGAGCAGCUUCAGUUGAGCGGCACCGCCGGCCUGAUCGCCUUGCAGCGCGUUGGCGACAGCAACGUCAACACCAUCCUGCUUGGGCAGAGCCUCGCUUUU
This 309-nucleotide unclassified non-coding RNA is filed under the name Hevea brasiliensis (rubber tree). The record is from RNAcentral. Lineage: Eukaryota; Viridiplantae; Streptophyta; Magnoliopsida; Malpighiales; Euphorbiaceae.